RNAcentral lists this ribosomal RNA (468 nucleotides) under uncultured bacterium. RNAcentral's name for it is "partial 16S ribosomal RNA". It matches the Rfam family "Bacterial small subunit ribosomal RNA", at positions 28 to 507 of the family's 1533-position model. The record is from RNAcentral.
GACGAACGCUGGCGGCGUGCUUAACACAUGCAAGUCGAACGGAAAGGCCCUGCUGUUGUGGGGUGCUCGAGUGGCGAACGGGUGAGUAACAAGUGAGUAACCUGCCCUUGACUUUGGGAUAACUUCAGGAAACUGGGGCUAAUACCGGAUAGGAGCUCCUGCUGCAUGGUGGGGGUUGGAAAGUUUCGGCGGUUGGGGAUGGACUCGCGGCUUAUCAGCUUGUUGGUGGGGUAGUGGCUUACCAAGGCUUUGACGGGUAGCCGGCCUGAGAGGGUGACCGGCCACAUUGGGACUGAGAUACGGCCCAGACUCCUACGGGAGGCAGCAGUGGGGAAUAUUGCACAGUGGGCGGAAGCCUGAUGCAGCAACGCCGCGUGCGGGAUGACGGCCUUCGGGUUGUAAACCGCUUUCGCCUGUGACGAAGCGUGAGUGACGGUAAUGGGUAAAGAAGCACCGGCUAACUACGUG